Cyanistes caeruleus (blue tit) is the source of this 194-nucleotide non-coding RNA. The record is from RefSeq and is a predicted model, not a curated record. NCBI's taxonomy places the organism in Eukaryota, Metazoa, Chordata, Aves, Passeriformes, Paridae.
GGGAGCCCUGUGCUCACUGAACUGGGGAGCGCCGCUCUAGGUGAUUUCCAGGAGCAAAAAAAAAGGCGAUAGUCAAGGUGCUUGUGAACUGGUGUUAAAAGACAAAUUCUUCAUUGUCAAUCCAGCUACCAUUCUUGUUCAGUUAAACUCUGCAACAGAUCUCCCACAAAGUUGUGUCCUGCUGUUGCUGCUUC